This 757-nucleotide ribosomal RNA is filed under the name uncultured bacterium. Its description in RNAcentral is "bacterial SSU rRNA". It matches the Rfam family "Bacterial small subunit ribosomal RNA", at positions 53 to 798 of the family's 1533-position model. The record is from RNAcentral.
GCAUGCAAGUCGAGCGGUAGCUCCUAUUGGUUAAAGCCGAUAGGAGUGAGAGCGGCGCACGGGUGAGUAACACGUAGGUAACCUACCCCAGAGAGGGGGAUAACAUCUCGAAAGGGGUGCUAAACCCCCAUAUACUUACCGAGCGAGAUGCUCAGGUAAGGAAAGGGUAUAGAGGGGUAACCCUCUAUGCUGCUCUGGGAUGGGCCUGCGGCCUAUCAGCUAGUUGGUGGGGUAAAGGCCCACCAAGGCUAAGACGGGUAGCCGGCCUGAGAGGGUGGUCGGCCACACUGGGACUGAGACACGGCCCAGACUCCUACGGGAGGCAGCAGCCGGGAAUCUUCCGCAAUGGGGGAAACCCUGACGGAGCGACGCCGCGUGAGGGAAGAAGCCCUUCGGGGUGUAAACCUCUUUUCUCGGGGAAGAAGGCAUGACGGUACCCGAGGAAAAAGCCCCGGCUAACUACGUGCCAGCAGCCGCGGUAAGACGUAGGGGGCGAGCGUUGUCCGGAUUUACUGGGCGUAAAGGGCGUGUAGGCGGCUUAGCAAGUCAGAUGUGGAAGCCCCGGGCUCAACUCGGGGAGGACAUCUGAUACUGCUAAGCUAGAGGGCAGGAGAGGAGAGCGGAACUUCCGGUGUAGCGGUGAAAUGCGUAGAUAUCGGAAGGAACGCCGGUGGCGAAGGCGGCUCUCUGGACUGUCCCUGACGCUGAGGCGCGAAAGCUAGGGGAGCGAACGGGAUUAGAUACCCCGGUAGUCCUA